Molecule: ribosomal RNA, 158 nt
Filed under: Metarhizium rileyi
Lineage: Eukaryota; Fungi; Ascomycota; Sordariomycetes; Hypocreales; Clavicipitaceae
Description: 5.8S ribosomal RNA
Rfam family: 5.8S ribosomal RNA
About the family: 5.8S ribosomal RNA (5.8S rRNA) is a component of the large subunit of the eukaryotic ribosome. It is transcribed by RNA polymerase I as part of the 45S precursor that also contains 18S and 28S rRNA.
Source: RNAcentral
AAAACUUCCAACAACGGAUCUCUUGGUUCUGGCAUCGAUGAAGAACGCAGCGAAAUGCGAUAAGUAAUGUGAAUUGCAGAAUUCAGUGAAUCAUCGAAUCUUUGAACGCACAUUGCGCCCGCCAGUAUUCUGGCGGGCAUGCCUGUUCGAGCGUCAUU